Prosopis cineraria is the source of this 2958-nucleotide RNA transcript. It is a transcript of the gene named protein DECREASED SIZE EXCLUSION LIMIT 1, with no coding region annotated. NCBI's taxonomy places the organism in Eukaryota, Viridiplantae, Streptophyta, Magnoliopsida, Fabales, Fabaceae. The record is from RefSeq and is a predicted model, not a curated record. The transcript has 14 exons.
UUCGCUCCCGAGGGAGAAAAUGAUAAACUUAUUUAUCCUAGUUAACUGGUUUAGUCGAACAGGCAAUACAAUGCGUAUUAUUAACAAAAACAGUAUCAUCAUUAAACUUAUUUAUCCAUUUGCUGGAAACUCACUACUUCAAGGCUUAAAAAACUGUUCGAGGAUUCAAGUCGUGUGGAAAAGUUGAGAACUUUUGGAAAAAACGAAGAACCCUUUGUGACUGAUAAUGGGGAUUUACAUUGUGGAUUUGUAUUUCAAGAGAAAUAUUGGUGAUUUGAAGCUGCAAAUGACACAAUUCUGCAACUUGUGUUUUGGAAAAAGCACGAUUAAAUCAACAAUCAAUCAAGGCAAAAGAAGAUGAAGAGAUGGGCGAGGGAAGAGCCUGGAGAAGGAUGGGAUGAUUUGUGGGAAUCUGUUUGUGAGAACCUUUUGAGUUUCUUUUGUUCCGGCAGGUGGGGUUAUAGACGUAUUUUUGCUUAAAAUUUAAAUUACACUCAGGUCUUUAGAAAUUUAAUUAUUUUUUCUACCCCGGGACCUGUAAUUUUCCCAAUAUAAAUUGCUACAGCACACUCCUGAAUUAAGUGAAAACUUCUAGUAUAUUCCUCAAUCCUCUUCUCCUGGCAAAAACCAAGGCCUUCACGGAUUGCAUGCCUCUCUGCGAUCAUCCUUGAAACAUCCUCAAGUUUGACAGCAAGACUCAACCUAUCCCCUGUCAGUUUCUAAUGGCACCCCUUCUCCUGCGUGUUCUGAAAGCAACGGUUACCUCGGCUUGGGUUCUCUCCUCCUCCCAAAUUUGCCCUUACUCGCUAUUGAUUUUGCAAACAAACUAAAAGCACUGCAGCAGCAAGCACAAAUCACGGUCACUGCCAGUGUCACGGCAUUGCGCACUGGUCAAAGUCAUUGGACUUGAUACGAGGAUGAAAUCUAGUGUGUGACAAGGAGACAUUGUUCGCCACUUCCAGUUGUUAGUUAUAAGUUCUGCAGCACUUUUAAGUUUUUAAGUUGCUUUUGGACGAGAAAGAGAAAGAGAAAGAAUGGACAAAAGGCCGCCACCAGAUCCAGUGGCAGUACUGCGAGGCCAUCGUGCCUCUGUCAUGGACAUUUGUUUUCAUCCGUGUAAAUCCAUAUUAUUCUCCGGUUCUGCUGAUGGUGAACUACGGAUUUGGGACACGAUUCAACGUCGAACUGUGUCAUCUGCAUGGAUACAUAGUGCCUCCCAUGGGAUUAUUGCUGUUGCCAGUAGCGCAUCCCUCGGAGCCAAUAAAUUUCUUAGCCAGGGUAGGGAUGGGACUGUGAAAUUUUGGGAUAUCGGUGAUGGUGGUGUGUCCAGGAUUCCAUAUCUUACUAUCAAGACAAACUCUUACCAUUUUUGCAAGCUUUCCUUAGCGAAGAAGCCUUUCACUUGGUCUAAAUUUAAAGAAGAGAAUGCAUCAAGAGAUUGCCACAAAAUGGAGCUAAAGGGAAGUUCUGAUGCUGAAAAUCUAGAGGUUAGAAGAGAAGAGACUCAGACUGACCAAAGCAGUUCUGAAAGCCUUAAAGAUAAAGCAUGUCCGGAAGAGUAUGUGGCUUUAUCAGGGGAGCAGUCUUCCCAGGUUGAAAUUUGGGACCUCAAGUCCGCAAAGAAGUUUGCACAACUGCCUUCAAACACUCCUUGUAGCUCUUCAAAUGUCUGCAAUAAAAACAGGGGAAUGUGCAUGGCGCUUCAAUUAUUUUUACCUUCUGAAUCUCAAGGAUUUUUAAAUGUCUUGGCUGGAUAUGAAGAUGGUUCUAUGCUUUGGUGGGAUGUACGGAAUCCUGGAGUUCCUGUAACUUCUGUGAAGUUCCAUUCUGAGCCAGUUCUCAGUGUUUGUAUUGACGGGUUUUGUAAUGGAGGUAUAUCAGGAGCUGCAGAUGACAAGAUUGUAAUGUACGGUUUGGAGAAUUCUACGGGAACAUGUGUGGUCAAGAGAGAAAUCAACUUGGAACGACCUGGAAUAUCAGGCACCUCAAUCAGACCGGAUGGAAAAAUUGCUGCUGCUGCUGGCUGGGACCACAGAGUGAGGAUAUAUAAUUAUCGCAAAGGAAAUGCUUUGGCAAUAUUGAAGUAUCAUCAUGCCACGUGCAAUGCUGUCACUUAUUCAUCGGAUGGUAAAACUAUGGCCUCUGCGUCAGAGGACGCAACAGUGGCUCUAUGGGAAUUAUACCCUCCUCAAAAUAGAACCUAACCAGUUUGGGUUUCAUGUGUUGUACAGGAUUUAAAAUAAGUCAGUACUGUAAGGAAUGAAUUGGGGUGAGAGAAGUGGAAGUGGAAUCAUAAUUUGUCUGUUUGGUAUAAUAGAACACGGUUCCCCAUGAAACCCAAUUCCAUCAAAAUCAAUGGAACUGGGUUCCGUGCCUUACCUAAUGGAACUGGAACUGGGUUCCAUUAUCUUCCUGGACUUGUUUACCCUUGCCUUCUCCCUCCCACCCUCACCAUGUUCUCCCUCCCUUCACCAGCGACAGCGACAACCCUCCACUAGCAACAAUGGUGACGAUUCUCGAUCAUCCUCCUCCAGCAAUGCAUGGGUUGAGAAUAAUAUUUGAAAAUUAGAUCUUUGAAGUCUUCGAUCUUUUCCACUACUGUGAGUUUGUGACGAUGCCUGUAGAUUCUAGCGAACUAACCCACUAUUUCCGGUUCAACUCCAAAGAGGGUGGAGUAGAGGGUGACAAUAACUUUGGUGAAGAUGAUGGCAAACGAUGAUGACUCAUGACCGACGAAUGACAAUUUCUAGUUCAAUUUCUUCUUCGAUUUCUGUCUUUAAUUACUCCAUUGCAUCUUAAGGUCGAUUUCAUGGCAGAAGGGUUGAAGAUUUUCGGCCGAAGCUUUGAUUUCCUCCCUCUUUCUGUGUUGAUUUUUUUUUUAUUUGGGGUUUUAAUUAUCUGUGUCUGUAUUCAUUAUUUUUUUUUGAAAUUAUUAUUUGUGCUUGGGUUAUUGUUUUC